CUGAAGUAUUUUGUUGAAAGGUGAAUGCCCAAAAAAAACCCAUAGUCGAUUAAAAUAAUUUAUAUGCAUGAAAGUAGACCAUUAAUAGUAGAUUGUA
Molecule: long non-coding RNA, 97 nt
Organism: Aricia agestis (brown argus)
Lineage: Eukaryota; Metazoa; Arthropoda; Insecta; Lepidoptera; Lycaenidae
Exons: 3
Source: RefSeq, a predicted model, not a curated record